RNAcentral lists this ribosomal RNA (179 nucleotides) under Bacillus amyloliquefaciens. RNAcentral's name for it is "partial 16S ribosomal RNA". It matches the Rfam family "Bacterial small subunit ribosomal RNA", at positions 1361 to 1533 of the family's 1533-position model. The record is from RNAcentral. Lineage: Bacteria; Bacillati; Bacillota; Bacilli; Caryophanales; Bacillaceae.
GGGGGGUACGUUCGGGCUUGUACACACCGCCCGUCACACCACGAGAGUUUGUAACACCCGAAGUCGGUGAGGUAACCUUUAUGGAGCCAGCCGCCGAAGGUGGGACAGAUGAUUGGGGUGAAGUCGUAACAAGGUAGCCGUAUCGGAAGGUGCGGCUGGAUCACCUCCUUUCUAAGGAU